RNAcentral lists this long non-coding RNA (383 nucleotides) under Capsicum annuum. RNAcentral's name for it is "long non-coding RNA (CANN_LNC016264)". Lineage: Eukaryota; Viridiplantae; Streptophyta; Magnoliopsida; Solanales; Solanaceae. The record is from RNAcentral.
GAUAAUUGUGGAUUGGGAUGUUGUUGAGUACUUAGAACCUCAAUUUGGUUUCUCUAUUUCAUAUAUAUGAUCUCUUAGAUCUGCUCUUGCUGUUAUAUAGGUGUUGUGUUCUGAUUGACCAGGAAAAUAGGGUGGUCAUCGAUCCUCGACGGACUCAAGAUAUCCAUUAAGGCCAGGUCCUUUUUUGGAUCAUGACAGUCCUACGAUAUGACCCCCUUCACCAGAUGUAAAAUUUCACUAUUCUUUAUUAAAUCAGGGGAAAACUGGCCCUUUCACCCCAUGUAGCUCUCCCAAUCCAUUUUAAAUCCUUAGAAUUAUCCUAAACUAUUAAGAUCAUUCUUAAAUCCCUAAUAUCUCCUCUCUUCUAAGAACCCCAAACUCCC